UGGUGGAGUGAUUUGUCUGGUUAAUUCCGUUAACGAACGAGACCGCUGCCUGCUAAAUAGUCUGAGUAGUGAAUUUCACUGUUUGGGGCUUCUUAGAGGGACGUGCAUUUUAUUAGAUGCAGGAAGAUAGUGGCAAUAACA
This 141-nucleotide ribosomal RNA is filed under the name uncultured eukaryote. RNAcentral's name for it is "partial 18S ribosomal RNA". It matches the Rfam family "Eukaryotic small subunit ribosomal RNA", at positions 1299 to 1458 of the family's 1831-position model. The record is from RNAcentral.